RNAcentral lists this long non-coding RNA (1467 nucleotides) under Musa acuminata (dwarf banana). RNAcentral describes it as "long non-coding RNA (MACU_LNC004520)". Lineage: Eukaryota; Viridiplantae; Streptophyta; Magnoliopsida; Zingiberales; Musaceae. The record is from RNAcentral.
UUUGAUUUGUUACUGAAGAUGGAUCUUUUUGACUCAGAAUAUGGACGCUAUAAAUAAUUGAGAUGCUCGUGUGCCGCAGUGGUGGUGGGAUCAUGCCAUAAUUGAGCGCCCAUGUGAACUAUGGACAGCCACCGGCAGGACACUUUCCAGCUUCCACGCUUUGGACUCUUGUGAAAGCAAUGUGUAGAAGGACUGCUGUGUGGUAAGCCAGUCUUAUCUUUUGACGAUUGGGAAUUCUCAUGUUGGACUCCCAUCUCAUCCGAGUCAUUGCUGCCAUAAGAAGACAUUAAUUAUUUCUAGGCUUACAAAAGAAAAAUUCUUUUUGUGUUUCUUCAGCUCUAAAAUUCUCAAAGUACAUAAAAUUUGCUUAUACUUUGAAAUUAAUUAUCUUCAGGUUUCUUGAAGAAAUUAAUUAUUUCUAGGCUUACAAAAGAACAUUUCCUUUUGAGUUUCUUCAGCUCUAAAAUUCUCAAAGUACAUAAAAUUUGCUUAUGCUUUGUUGCUCCAAUUGUGAUAGAAAGAAUGAAUCACAUUGUAAUAAACACCAUGGAAACUGAUACAGCGUUCACCACCCACGUACGGUCAUCAUGCAUACACUACACUCUCCCCCUCCACCAUGCAAAAGAAGGAAGACCGAACGUGAUGAGUCACGGCAGGGAAGGUGAUGAACACGUCGCUCAGCAGAGGAGAUAACCGAAGGCCAGGGCGGCCACCGACGCCAGGGCCGCGGCAGCGGUGGACGACGUGGGGGUGCCGGAGGUGGGGCUGGGGGCGGGUGCCUGCGCCGCCGCGGCCUUCUGCACCAUGGACGCGGCCAUCACGACGGCCAUCAUGGCCAUGGCGAACAACUUGAGCUUGAGAGCUGCCUCCAUUGCUAGUAGCACUUUAAGGCACAACUACCGAGCACAGAGGAAUGGAGGGAGGAGAUGUAGAGAGGAGGCAAUGCAGUUCGGGCCGUGGAAGGAGGGGGAGGGAGAGGAGGGUUUUUGUAAGGAGACUACCAAGCUUGGGUCUGGGACAUGACAGGCUGUUUUCGCUUGUGUCUUCUUCCUCCUCCUCCUCCUCCUCCAUGUGUUUUGUUAGUUGGAACGUCUUAACAUACACGCUGUCGGAAGAGAUUUCCUUGUUUGUGUUCUCUUCCUUCUUUCUUUGUUCGAGGAAGAUGGGUUGUCCAUAGGUUGGUGCCAAAAUCUAGCUGGAAUGACAAUUGCAUGAUCCAAACUUUAGCUGUGCCCAAUCUGUCAAGAGCAACCACCGAUCUUUGAUUGUUUGUUCUUCUUUCUUCUUUAGCUGCUUCACUGUCUUCAAAGAAUUCCAUCAGAAGCUGGAGGAAGACUUUGUCAAUGGAACUCGGUUUCUGGUCACAUUUCUUCUGGAUGAAUUUUGGGAUGCAUGAUCACUCUCGAUAAUAAUUUUAAUGGUGUAAUUCUAUUAGAUUACUUGUUUUUUUAUUUCUUUUCAUCACAG